AUAUUUUUAACAAUGGAUCUCUAGGCUCUUGCAACGAUGAAGAACGCAGUGAAUUGCGAAAUGUCAUGUGACAUGCAAUUUUUGUGAAUCAUUGAAUUUUCGAACGCAUUUUGCGCUCUCAUUUUGUGGGAGUGUGUCUGUUUGAGCGCUGUAUAUUAUU
RNAcentral lists this ribosomal RNA (160 nucleotides) under uncultured fungus. RNAcentral describes it as "5.8S ribosomal RNA". It matches the Rfam family "5.8S ribosomal RNA". Rfam says of the family: 5.8S ribosomal RNA (5.8S rRNA) is a component of the large subunit of the eukaryotic ribosome. It is transcribed by RNA polymerase I as part of the 45S precursor that also contains 18S and 28S rRNA. Lineage: Eukaryota; Fungi. The record is from RNAcentral.